Molecule: ribosomal RNA, 1048 nt
Filed under: Salmonella enterica
Lineage: Bacteria; Pseudomonadati; Pseudomonadota; Gammaproteobacteria; Enterobacterales; Enterobacteriaceae
Description: partial 23S ribosomal RNA
Rfam family: Bacterial large subunit ribosomal RNA
Source: RNAcentral
AGACCCGAAACCCGGUGAUCUAGCCAUGGGCAGGUUGAAGGUUGGGUAACACUAACUGGAGGACCGAACCGACUAAUGUUGAAAAAUUAGCGGAUGACCUGUGGCUGGGGGUGAAAGGCCAAUCAAACCGGGAGAUAGCUGGUUCUCCCCGAAAGCUAUUUAGGUAGCGCCUCGUGAAUUCAUCUCCGGGGGUAGAGCACUGUUUCGGCUAGGGGGCCAUCCCGGCUUACCAACCCGAUGCAAACUGCGAAUACCGGAGAAUGUUAUCACGGGAGACACACGGCGGGUGCUAACGUCCGUCGUGAAGAGGGAAACAACCCAGACCGCCAGCUAAGGUCCCAAAGUCAUGGUUAAGUGGGAAACGAUGUGGGAAGGCCCAGACAGCCAGGAUGUUGGCUUAGAAGCAGCCAUCAUUUAAAGAAAGCGUAAUAGCUCACUGGUCGAGUCGGCCUGCGCGGAAGAUGUAACGGGGCUAAACCAUGCACCGAAGCUGCGGCAGCGAACGUAUCACCCAAGACAACUUUACGGAGUUGACGAUUGACGGAGCGAAGCGACGUCAAAGCGUUCAUUAAAGUCGAGUUGGCUUAGGGAUACGUUCGUUGGGUAGGGGAGCGUUCUGUAAGCCUGUGAAGGUGUGUCGUGAGGCAUGCUGGAGGUAUCAGAAGUGCGAAUGCUGACAUAAGUAACGAUAAAGCGGGUGAAAAGCCCGCUCGCCGGAAGACCAAGGGUUCCUGUCCAACGUUAAUCGGGGCAGGGUGAGUCGACCCCUAAGGCGAGGCCGAAAGGCGUAGUCGAUGGGAAACGGGUUAAUAUUCCCGUACUUGGUGUUACUGCGAAGGGGGGACGGAGAAGGCUAUGUUGGCCGGGCGACGGUUGUCCCGGUUUAAGCGUGUAGGUGUGUGUUCCAGGUAAAUCCGGUUCACUUUAACACUGAGGCGUGACGACGAGGCACUACGGUGCUGAAGCAACAAAUGCCCUGCUUCCAGGAAAAGCCUCUAAGCAUCAGGUAACACGAAAUCGUACCCCAAACCGACACAGGUGGUCAGGU